GCACCGCUAGCUCAAUUGGAUAGAGCGGUCGGCUACGGACCGACAGGUUCGGGAUUCAAGUUCUCGGCGGUGCACCA
This 77-nucleotide transfer RNA is filed under the name Candidatus Pelagibacter sp. Its description in RNAcentral is "tRNA-Arg". RNAcentral also lists the same sequence under 1 other name. The record is from RNAcentral. Lineage: Bacteria; Pseudomonadati; Pseudomonadota; Alphaproteobacteria; Candidatus Pelagibacterales; Candidatus Pelagibacteraceae.